Molecule: long non-coding RNA, 1051 nt
Organism: Nannospalax galili (Upper Galilee mountains blind mole rat)
Lineage: Eukaryota; Metazoa; Chordata; Mammalia; Rodentia; Spalacidae
Exons: 2
Source: RefSeq, a predicted model, not a curated record
UGGUCCUCUGAAGAACAGCAGGUGCUCUUAACUGCUGAACCAUUUUCCCAGUCCUGGAAAAAAAAUUUUAGGAAAGAAUCGAAUAGAAAUUUAGAAUUUAGGAAAAAUAAACAAAUACACUGUUUUAGGAUUCAAGAGAGUAACGAUUGCAGUAAUUAAUUUCAUUUCAUUUUCGUUAGGCUCUAACAGGACCUUGAGCCAGACAUCCAGGAAGUUGCUGUGCAGGCAUUUUGGGGAUUAAGGUUAACAUCUAAAUCAACAAACCCAGGGAAGCAGUGUACUCUCCACACUGUGGAUGUGAUGUGAGGAACUAUUUGAAUUUCUGCCUUGACUUCCCCAAAUGAUGAACUGCAACUUAGAACUGUGAGCCAAAUAAGCCCUUCUGCCCCUAUGCUGCCGUUUGUCAGGGCAUUUUAUCACAGCAACAGAAAUGAAAUUGGACAGUGUAUAUUGGUAUUCCUUGAUCACUUAGGUGUAAAAAAAAACUACAAAUUAAACACUUGAGUUUUCCUUAAAAUGUCCGUGUCAUAUUGAUAUUUUAACAUAUUUCUAGCACCACAUUUCUAUUUAAUUUUCAUUGACUCAGUAAUUAUGCUGUUAUUUCCUUAUAGUGGAAAUGUUUAUUUCUAACAAAAUAAUCAUCCUUAUAUAUUCUUUGUAUAAUAAUACAAAAAUAAUAAGAUAGAUGUAAACAUUAAAAACCAAGUUCUGAUGUUCAAUUUUCCUAUCUACAACUUCUUGCCUCUAGUGUGCAUUCAUCUGUGUAUGCACAUAUUCAUAUAUAUGCAUAUAUAAUGAACUUUUCCUCAGAGCUCUCAUAACUCAUCUUAUAUGGCUACAGAAGUAUUUGUUUGACAUAUUUGUUGCUGUUUGUUUCAAGUACAAGCUGUUAUUGUUCUAGCAGAUGAUAUCUCUAUGUUCUUAAAGAAUGUCAUUUGGGGACUGUUGUCUAGAUUCUGAUGGACAGUAGUGGAAAGCAGCUCUGCUGUUCUACUUCAAGAGGUGGAAGGAAAGCUUCUUGAAUAAAAGCUUCAGUAAUUUAAUCUCCAAA